RNAcentral lists this ribosomal RNA (474 nucleotides) under Triticum aestivum (bread wheat). Its description in RNAcentral is "partial small subunit ribosomal RNA". The record is from RNAcentral. Lineage: Eukaryota; Viridiplantae; Streptophyta; Magnoliopsida; Poales; Poaceae.
UUAGUAGCUGCUUGUGUAGUUGAUGCACACAGUUUUGUAUUUCUAGUUGCCUACGGUGUGCUGGAGACAGAGUCUGAGGAGAGCUGGACUUGGUUUUUGCAUAAUCUGCGUCGUGCUAUUGCACAUCCCAAUGGGUUGGUCAUUCAUACAGAUGCCUGCAAAGGUUUAGAAGUGGCCGUGGAUAAUGUGUUCCCUGAAGUAGAGCAUAGGGAAUGCAUGCGUCACCUUGCUGCAAAUUUCAUGAAGAAAUUCAAAGGAAAGGUGUAUACCAACAAUUUAUGGCCAGCAUCUUUGACUUGCAAUGUGAAGAAGCACAACUACCACUUGAGGCAGUUAUACAUGAAUCCCAAAGUGAAAGAAUACUUGGAAACACACCACUCCAAGUUAUGGGCCAGAAGCCAAUUCAGUGAACUGAGCAAAGUUGACUAUGUGCACAAUAAUCUAGCAGAGUCUUUCAACUCAACGAUCCGGAAA